UCUCGUGUACCACUUUUUAUUUUUUAUUGAAACAAAGCUAGCUCCUUCAUUGAGUAUAAAUUCUACCUCUUUUGCACUCUUGUAGCACACAAAGCAAUUUUCUAAAAUCUCAUCAAUAUACUUUUUAUAGAAGAAUGGCUUCUUUUCAAAAGCAGUUAGCUGUUUUCAUGCUCCUUUGCUGGGUCGCCACAAUUGCCAAAUAUUCAGGAUCACCAAACAUGAUGGUUAUGGCUGUACGUGACUUGCCUUUGGAUGUGGCUAUCAUGGAACAAGUUCUUUUUCCAGGACUCACUUGCCGGAGAUCAUGUAAAACAAACAAUGAUUGCUCAGAUGGUAUUAUUUGCGCGACAUGCCGUUAUUUUCCAAAACAGAAAGUCCGUAUUUGUGUUGCUUCUUAAUUACGUAUUUUCGCGUAAUUAAGGUAUUAAUAAUGAUGUGUUAUGUGUCGUUUAAUAAUAAAUAAGGUGAUUUGCAAUUGCUUCGGCUCUGUAUGUUGCAAAUUGUCAACAAAUGUUUGUAUUGUAAACAUGUCUUGAUGUAUCGUAUGUUAUUGUGUCGUCUUUAUUUUAAGUAUUAAUGAAUGGACUAUGGUGUGAUAAUAAGAAGUGUAUUAUGUAUACGAGGAAGUAUUAGUCGAAAAGUUUUUAUUA
This is a long non-coding RNA of Lycium barbarum (goji berry), 650 nucleotides long. RefSeq lists it as uncharacterized. The transcript is spliced from 2 exons. NCBI's taxonomy places the organism in Eukaryota, Viridiplantae, Streptophyta, Magnoliopsida, Solanales, Solanaceae. The record is from RefSeq and is a predicted model, not a curated record.